UACGUAGGUGGCAAGCGUUGUCCGGAAUUAUUGGGCGUAAAGCGCGCGCAGGCGGUUCUUUAAGUCUGAUGUGAAAUCUCGCGGCUCAACCGCGAGUCUGCAUUGGAAACUGGGGAACUUGAGUACAGAAGAGGAGAGCGGAAUUCCACGUGUAGCGGUGAAAUGCGUAGAGAUGUGGAGGAACACCAGUGGCGAAGGCGGCUCUCUGGUCUGUAACUGACGCUGAGGCGCGAAAGCGUGGGGAGCGAACAGG
This 253-nucleotide unclassified non-coding RNA is filed under the name uncultured Caryophanales bacterium. RNAcentral's name for it is "uncultured Bacillales bacterium contains 16S-23S intergenic spacer region". It matches the Rfam family "Bacterial small subunit ribosomal RNA", at positions 524 to 776 of the family's 1533-position model. The record is from RNAcentral. Lineage: Bacteria; Bacillati; Bacillota; Bacilli; Caryophanales.